AUUGAACGCUGGCGGCAGGCUUAACACAUGCAAGUCGAGCGGGGGAAGGUAGCUUGCUACUGGACCUAGCGGCGGACGGGUGAGUAAUGCUUAGGAAUCUGCCUAUUAGUGGGGGACAACAUCUCGAAAGGGAUGCUAAUACCGCAUACGUCCUACGGGAGAAAGCAGGGGAUCUUCGGACCUUGCGCUAAUAGAUGAGCCUAAGUCGGAUUAGCUAGUUGGUGGGGUAAAGGCCUACCAAGGCGACGAUCUGUAGCGGGUCUGAGAGGAUGGUCCGCCAGACUGGGACUGGGACACGGCCCAGACUCCUACGGGAGGCAGCAGUGGGGAAUAUUGGACAAUGGGGGGAACCCUGAUCCAGCCAUGCCGCGUGUGUGAAGAAGGCCUUAUGGUUGUAAAGCACUUUAAGCGAGGAGGAGGCUACUUUAGUUAAUACCUAGAGAUAGUGGACGUUACUCGCAGAAUAAGCACCGGCUAACUCUGUGCCAGCCGCCGCCGUAA
This 501-nucleotide ribosomal RNA is filed under the name uncultured bacterium. Its description in RNAcentral is "partial 16S ribosomal RNA". It matches the Rfam family "Bacterial small subunit ribosomal RNA", at positions 30 to 523 of the family's 1533-position model. The record is from RNAcentral.